UGGGGAAUAUUGCACAAUGGGCGCAAGCCUGAUGCAGCCAUGCCGCGUGUGUGAAGAAGGCCUUCGGGUUGUAAAGCACUUUCAGCGAGGAGGAAGGUGGUGAACUUAAUACGUUCAUCAAUUGACGUUACUCGCAGAAGAAGCACCGGCUAACUCCGUGCCAGCAGCCGCGGUAAUACGGAGGGUGCAAGCGUUAAUCGGAAUUACUGGGCGUAAAGCGCACGCAGGCGGUUUGUUAAGUCAGAUGUGAAAUCCCCGGGCUCAACCUGGGAACUGCAUUUGAAACUGGCAAGCUAGAGUCUCGUAGAGGGGGGUAGAAUUCCAGGUGUAGCGGUGAAAUGCGUAGAGAUCUGGAGGAAUACCGGUGGCGAAGGCGGCCCCCCUGGACGAAGACUGACGCUCAGGUGCGAAAAGGCGUGGGGGAGCAAAACAGGAUUAGAUACCCUGGUAGUCCACGCUGUAAACGAUGUCGAUUUUGGAGGUUGUGCCCCUUGAGGCGUGGCUUCCGGAGCUAACGCGUUAAAUCGACCGCC
RNAcentral lists this ribosomal RNA (533 nucleotides) under uncultured bacterium. RNAcentral describes it as "partial 16S ribosomal RNA". It matches the Rfam family "Bacterial small subunit ribosomal RNA", at positions 355 to 873 of the family's 1533-position model. The record is from RNAcentral.